AAACGACUCUCGGCAACGGAUAUCUCGGCUCUCGCAUCGAUGAAGAACGUAGCGAAAUGCGAUACUUGGUGUGAAUUGCAGAAUCCCGUGAACCAUCGAGUCUUUGAACGCAAGUUGCGCCCUAAGCCAUUCGGCCGAGGGCACGUCUGCCUGGGCGUCAAUCA
Molecule: ribosomal RNA, 164 nt
Filed under: Fuchsia hybrid cultivar
Lineage: Eukaryota; Viridiplantae; Streptophyta; Magnoliopsida; Myrtales; Onagraceae
Description: 5.8S ribosomal RNA
Rfam family: 5.8S ribosomal RNA
About the family: 5.8S ribosomal RNA (5.8S rRNA) is a component of the large subunit of the eukaryotic ribosome. It is transcribed by RNA polymerase I as part of the 45S precursor that also contains 18S and 28S rRNA. Functionally, it is thought that 5.8S rRNA may be involved in ribosome translocation.
Source: RNAcentral